UACCAGCACCCCGAGUGGUCGGGACGUUUAUUGGGCGUAAAGCGUCCGCAGGUGGUUUUUCAAGUCUGCUGUUAAAGCGCGAGGCUUAACUUCGUACAGGCAGUGGAAACUGGAAGACUUGAGUAUGGUAGGGGUAGCGGGAAUUCCCAGUGUAGCGGUGAAAUGCGUAGAUAUUGGGAAGAACACCAGCGGCGAAAGCGCGCUACUGGGCCAUUACUGACACUCAUGGACGAAAGCUAGGGGAGCGAAAGGG
Molecule: ribosomal RNA, 253 nt
Filed under: uncultured bacterium
Lineage: Bacteria
Description: partial 16S ribosomal RNA
Rfam family: Bacterial small subunit ribosomal RNA (bases 27-253)
Source: RNAcentral